GAACAGGGUGGGGUCAUAGGUUGCUAGGGUCUUAGUAGGGAUGGGGCCCAAGCCCUGGGGAUAUGGGUCCCUGAGGUCUUGGGGUAAUGGGAACCUAAGUCCUGAGGGUCCAGGUCAUGGGGUGAUCUGGGCCUGGGAGUCUGUGUCUCACAUCCAGGCCCCAGAGGAGCCCCUGCCCUUGCAGCAGGGAGCUGGCUCUGCACCGUGGACUGGCUUGGGCUUUGCACAUGUGGUUGAUGGGGCCGGCCUCUCUCUGCUCGGGCCCACAGUGCCUCGUGUCAUGGAGCAUGACAUUGUCCUGUGCUGUGAGACCAAGGCAGCUGAAGACUGGCAGGCAUUAGUCUGUGUUCAUGCCCGGUCCCUGUCCAGGAGCACCUGCUGUGCCCAUCUGCGCUCAGAGCAGCUGUUCCAGGUGGCCUUGACCUACGCACACAGGGACAUGCUACUCCCUGAUCCUGAGGCUGUGCAGGACCAAGGGGAUGCGGAGACGAGAGGGGGGCACUAUCCUUCUGGAUUCGAUUGUGCUCUUGCCGUGGGUGAAGGAGUUGCCUGGGCUGAGAUCUGUGGACCCUGGGGCCACAGAGCACUUACAGGAGCUCCACAAGGCAGGCUGCGUGGAGGCAGCAAGGACUGGCCUCCCCAGCACCAUGCCUGAGGUUUGUGCCCACCUUGUCUGCAGCAUCUUGGCCCUGCUCCACGGGGGUGGCCUUGCAUGUGAGUGCCACCCCCAGGGUUCCCUGAACACUGUGCACCCCGCUAGGUGGGCCCUGCCCCUGCCAUCCCAAUAUCAUUGGUUGUACCUGUGACUGCAUGUCUGAAAUAUACAGCAUCGGGCCCACUGGCUGCAGUGAGUGCCACUGCCACACCGAGGGGCCACUAGUACCAUUUGUAACCCUGUGAGUGGGCAGUGCACAUGCCAGGCAGGCCUGGCUGGUCACCGCUGUGCCCACCGCCUCUCUGGCUGGUGGGGUUUCCCUCUCUGCCAGCCCUGCACCUGCACUGGACACGCUGAGUUGUGCCAGCCACUCACAGGGGUCUGCCAGGCUUGCCCAGGAACCACCACAGGCUGGCACUGUGCGAGGUGCUUGGACGGCUAUUCUGGAGACCCCACCCUGGGCUCAGGCCAGCAGUGCAGACCUUGCCCCUGUCCUGGGCACCCUGGCUCUGGCCUCUAUCAUGGGAUUUCCUGCCAUGUGGACAGUGCGAGUGGACGUGUCCUAUACCUCUGUGCACCUGGCUAUGCAGGUGAGGGCUGUUUGGCAAGGGCAACCCGGUGGCCCUGCUCACUUGUUCACAACCUCAUCAGGUCCACGAGGCAAAUCUUUGCCAGGGCCACCUGUAUGUGGAGCUGCAGGCUGGGCACGUCUCCUGGAGGAGUUGCUGUUCAAGGGAGGGAGGGGCAGAUGGGAGGAGCUA
Molecule: long non-coding RNA, 1416 nt
Organism: Mirounga angustirostris (Northern elephant seal)
Lineage: Eukaryota; Metazoa; Chordata; Mammalia; Carnivora; Phocidae
Exons: 7
Source: RefSeq, a predicted model, not a curated record